This 78-nucleotide transfer RNA is filed under the name Rhodobacter capsulatus SB 1003. RNAcentral's name for it is "tRNA-His". It matches the Rfam family "tRNA". Rfam says of the family: Transfer RNA (tRNA) molecules are approximately 80 nucleotides in length. Their secondary structure includes four short double-helical elements and three loops (D, anti-codon, and T loops). Lineage: Bacteria; Pseudomonadati; Pseudomonadota; Alphaproteobacteria; Rhodobacterales. The record is from RNAcentral.
UGCCGCCUUAGCUCAGUUGGUUAGAGCGCUGGAUUGUGGAUCCAGAGGUCCCCCGUUCGAGCCGGGGAGGCGGUACCA